CGCACCUUGCGCUCCUUGGUAUUCCGAGGAGCAUGCCUGUUUGAGUGUCAUUAAAUUCUCAACUUCAACAUUUCUGUUGAAUGCUUGGAUUGUGGGGGUUGUGCAGAAUGCUUCAUUGCGUUCUGCUCCUCUUAAAUGAAUUAGCGAGUUUCUACUGAGCUCUAUCUAUUAGUGUGAUAAUUAUCUACGCUAUGGAUUGGACUUGGACUUGCUUCUAACCGUCCGCAAGGACAAUACCUUGACAAUUUGACCUCAAAUCAGGUAGGACUACCCGCUGAACUUAA
This 284-nucleotide unclassified non-coding RNA is filed under the name Psathyrella pygmaea. RNAcentral's name for it is "partial contains 5.8S ribosomal RNA, internal transcribed spacer 2, and large subunit ribosomal RNA". Lineage: Eukaryota; Fungi; Basidiomycota; Agaricomycetes; Agaricales; Psathyrellaceae. The record is from RNAcentral.